CUACGGGGGGCAGCAGUAGGGAAUUUUCGGCAAUGGGCGAAAGCCUGACCGAGCAAUGCCGCGUGAACGAUGAAGGCCUUCGGGUUGUAAAGUUCUGUUAUCAGGGAAGAACAUACGGAUUAGGAAAUGACUCCGUACUGACGGUACCUGAUCAGAAAGCUCCGGCUAACUACGUGCCAGCAGCCGCGGUAAUACGUAGGGAGCAAGCGUUAUCCGGAAUUAUUGGGCGUAAAGCGUGCGUAGGCGGUUCGUUAAGUCAAAUCUGAAAGCCCACAGCUUAACUGUGGAGGGCGAUUUGAAACGGGCGAACUUGAGUACGGCAGAGGUUAGCGGAAUUCAAUGUGUAGCGGUGGAAUGCGUAGAUAUAUUGAGGAACACCAGUGGCGAAGGCGGCUAACUGGACCGGAACUGACGCUGAGGCACGAAAGCGUGGGGAGCAAACAGGAUUAGAUACCCCUGUAGUC
RNAcentral lists this ribosomal RNA (464 nucleotides) under uncultured bacterium. Its description in RNAcentral is "partial 16S ribosomal RNA". It matches the Rfam family "Bacterial small subunit ribosomal RNA", at positions 339 to 795 of the family's 1533-position model. The record is from RNAcentral.